ACGCUGGCGGCAGGCUUAACACAUGGCAAGUCGAGCGGGCCCUUCGGGGUCAGCGGCAGACGGGUGAGUAACGCGUGGGAACGUGCCCUUCGGUUCGGAAUAACUCAGGGAAACUUGAGCUAAUACCGGAUACGCCCUUUUGGGGAAAGGUCUUAGUACUGCCGAAGGAUCGGCCCGCGUCUGAUUAGCUAGUUGGUGAGGUUAUGGCUCACCAAGGCGACGAUCAGUAGCUGGUCUGAGAGGAUGAUCAGCCACACUGGGACUGAGACACGGCCCAGACUCCUACGGGAGGCAGCAGUGGGGAAUAUUGGACAAUGGGGGCAACCCUGAUCCAGCCAUGCCGCGUGAGUGAUGACGGCCUUAGGGUUGUAAAGCUCUUUUCUCCGGGACGAUAAUGACGGUACCGGAGGAAUAAGCCCCGGCUAACUUCGUGCCAGCAGCCGCGGUUAAUACGAAGGGGGCUAGCGUUGCUCGGUAAUCACUGGGCGUAAAGGGCGCGU
This 500-nucleotide ribosomal RNA is filed under the name alpha proteobacterium TH-S49. Its description in RNAcentral is "bacterial SSU rRNA". It matches the Rfam family "Bacterial small subunit ribosomal RNA", at positions 33 to 572 of the family's 1533-position model. Lineage: Bacteria; Pseudomonadati; Pseudomonadota; Alphaproteobacteria. The record is from RNAcentral.